GACGGACGCUGGCGGCGUGCUUAACACAUGCAAGUCGAACGAUGACGACCGAGCUUGCUCGGUCUGAUUAGUGGCGAACGGGUGAGUAACACGUGAGCAACCUGCCCUUCACUCUGGGAUAACCUCGGGAAAUCGGGGCUAAUACCGGAUAUGAGCUCCUGUCGCAUGGCGGGUGUUGGAAAGUUUUUCGGUGAAGGAUGGGCUCGCGGCCUAUCAGUUUGUUGGUGAGGUAGUGGCUCACCAAGGCGAUGACGGGUAGCCGGCCUGAGAGGGCGACCGGCCACACUGGGACUGAGACACGGCCCAGACUCCUACGGGAGGCAGCAGUGGGGAAUAUUGCACAAUGGGCGAAAGCCUGAUGCAGCGACGCCGCGUGAGGGAUGACGGCCUUCGGGUUGUAAACCUCUUUCAGCAGGGAAGAAGCGAAAGUGACGGUACCUGCAGAAGAAGCGCCGGCUAACUACGUG
Molecule: ribosomal RNA, 467 nt
Filed under: uncultured bacterium
Lineage: Bacteria
Description: partial 16S ribosomal RNA
Rfam family: Bacterial small subunit ribosomal RNA
Source: RNAcentral